RNAcentral lists this long non-coding RNA (268 nucleotides) under Elaeis guineensis (African oil palm). RNAcentral's name for it is "long non-coding RNA (EGUI_LNC062845)". Lineage: Eukaryota; Viridiplantae; Streptophyta; Magnoliopsida; Arecales; Arecaceae. The record is from RNAcentral.
UGGUGUAAAAACUCAUGCCUCUUAAAAAGGAGCAUCCCAUGAGGCCGAACAAGUAUCUGGUUCCCACCCAAAUUUUAAACUACCAUGAAAAAGGAAACCAACGUCCACUUUCCUAGUGUUUCACAAAGUCACACUCUAACGCUCAGCUGCAUGGACAACCAAUAACUUAGGUCUUUUAUAACUAACAAUGACCAGCACUAAAAGCAAAUUCCAAACAAAAUAAGGACUUGGCAAUGAAUUUCAACAUUUUCUUUGAUAGUAGUGGUGA